Molecule: ribosomal RNA, 378 nt
Filed under: uncultured bacterium
Lineage: Bacteria
Description: partial 16S ribosomal RNA
Rfam family: Bacterial small subunit ribosomal RNA
Source: RNAcentral
CCUACGGGUGGCAGCAGUAGGGAAUAUUGCUCAAUGGGCGAAACCCUGAAGCAGCAACGCCGCGUGGAGGAUGACGGUUUUAGGAUUGUAAACUUCUUUUGUGAGAGAAGUUAAUGACGGUAUCUCACGAAUAAGCACCGGCUAACUCCGUGCAAGCAGCCGCGGUAAUACGGAGGGUGCAAGCGUUACUCGGAAUCACUGGGCGUAAAGAGUGCGCAGGCGGGCUUGUAGGUCAGUUGUGAAAUCCUGUAGCUUAACUACAGAACUGCAGUUGAAACUAUGAGUCUAGAGUGUGGUAGAGGUAGGUGGAAUUCGUGGUGUAGCGGUAAAAUGCGUAGAUAUCAAGAGGAACACUGAUUGCGAAGGCGGCCUACUGGA